RNAcentral lists this ribosomal RNA (253 nucleotides) under uncultured prokaryote. RNAcentral describes it as "partial 16S ribosomal RNA". It matches the Rfam family "Bacterial small subunit ribosomal RNA", at positions 525 to 777 of the family's 1533-position model. The record is from RNAcentral.
ACGAAGGUGGCAAGCGUUGUUCGGAUUCAUUGGGCGUAAAGGGUGCGUAGGUGGCGCUGUAAGUCAGGUGUGAAAUUUCGGAGCUCAACUUCGAAACUGCAUUUGAUACUGCGGUGCUUGAGGACUGGAGAGGAGACUGGAAUUUACGGUGUAGCAGUGAAAUGCGUAGAGAUCGUAAGGAAGACCAGUGGCGAAGGCGGGUCUCUGGACAGUUCCUGACACUGAGGCACGAAGGCCAGGGGAGCAAACGGGA